This 403-nucleotide ribosomal RNA is filed under the name Verrucomicrobiota bacterium. RNAcentral describes it as "Verrucomicrobia bacterium partial 16S ribosomal RNA". It matches the Rfam family "Bacterial small subunit ribosomal RNA", at positions 355 to 776 of the family's 1533-position model. Lineage: Bacteria; Pseudomonadati; Verrucomicrobiota. The record is from RNAcentral.
UGGGGAAUAUUGCACAAUGGAGGGAACUCUGAUGCAGCGACGCCGCGUGAACGAAGAAGGCUUUCGAGUCGUAAAGUUCUUUUAUAUGGGAAGAUAAUGACGGUACCAUAAGAAAAAGCCCCGGCUAACUACGUGCCAGCAGCCGCGGUAAUACGUAGGGGGCUAGCGUUUUCCGGAAUCACUGGGCGUAAAGGGUUCGCAGGCGGAAAUGCAAGUCAGGUGUAAAAGGCAGUAGCUUAACUACUGUAAGCAUUUGAAACUGCAUAUCUUGAGAAGAGUGGAGGUAAGUGGAAUUUUUAGUGUGGCGGUGAAAUGCGUAGAUAUUAAAAAGAAUACCGGUGGCGAAGGCGACUUACUGGGCUCAUUCUGACGCUGAGGAACGAAAGCGUGGGUAGCAAACAGG